This 1722-nucleotide long non-coding RNA is filed under the name Astyanax mexicanus (Mexican tetra). Its description in RNAcentral is "lncRNA (ENSAMXG00005009843.1)". Lineage: Eukaryota; Metazoa; Chordata; Actinopteri; Characiformes; Acestrorhamphidae. The record is from RNAcentral.
UGGCAGCUUCAGUCAUUGGGCAGCCCUCUCUGCGUGGCUGCGCUCAGUCUGCGCAGUGUUUCAGGGACGGACGCUGCGGCGUAAACACCGCGGAGCUUAGCGGGGAGCAGCAGCGCUGCCGGUCCGCCGGUCCCCCGUUCCCGGUACUUUCUUCCGCCCGCUGCCGCUUUAAGGCGCUGUAGCUCGGGCUGUACCGCCUUAAUAAUGUCGGUGUCAAUCUGGCACGACGCUGAGCCCGAGAAGUGUCCCGUUUUAGCUCAGAGCUAACGAUCGCUAUGUGACUGAAUGGAGGGAGCCGGACCGCGCUGGCGUUAGUUAGCGGAGCUUCUACUCAGCCGUGCCCGGGAGGAACGUCACCAUCCCCGGCCUCGCCGCUGCUACUGUCCCCUGCUUCCCCUGCUCCAGCUGCCCGUCCAAACAAGCAGGAUUUAUGGAAUCCAUCCGGGAGAGGGGAGCAAUAAUAUGUCAAGACGAAAACAGACCAACCCUUUCAAAGUGAAUUGUAGGUAUCGCAGGGCCGUUUCACAUGACCGGGUUCUCUGGCCCACAGCACACUUCAGAGAUGGAGGCUCGAAACGAGUUUGCAGAAAACCCAGCGUGCCACAGCAACGACUCCCCUGACCUCGACGAGCAGGACAACAUAACCGAUGAUAGCGACAGUGACCUGGAUAAAGAGAACUCCUCCAGCUCAUCAGUUGAUGACAACAUGACGAGUAGGGGGAGCCAGUGUUCCUUUCAUGGAGACGUGAAGGAGGUGAGUCUAACUGUUAUGGAGUAAGCCUUAUCGAGUGGUCCAGCAGUCUAAAGCGUUCCCACUUUAAGGUAAAAAAGUCGCUGGUUCGAAUCCUGGUCAUGCAACUUUCCAUCAGCUGCCGGAGCCCUGAGAAUGCACAAUUGGUCACUCCUAGGGUGAUGUGGAUUAGCACAAGGCUGCGUCUGUGAGCUGGUGUAUCAGAUCCGAGUCGCUGCGCUUUGUGUACAGCUAUCCAAAACUCUUCACAUACUUCAAAAACAAACGGCAGAAUGAAUGGGACAGUAAAACAUUUAACAAACUGUAUGACAUAGAGGAAAAAGUUGGACGAACCUACACUAGAAUGGACAGUCGUCUACACCAAACCAUCCUUACAAAAUGUAGAAUCCUCCAUGUUGACGCACCAACAUCUACUAACUAGAGAAGAUGCUCCAACCUGUCAUCUUGGUAAAGACAGACUUACUAUAAAACACAUUUUAAUGAACUGCAAACCACUGCACUCAGAUAGACUGAGGUUUUUUUAUGAAAGUGAGAUGCAAAACUGCAGCACCUGAAAAAAUCAUACAUUUUUAAAUAUAAAACAUCUUUUAUAAUUGCUUUUGUAUAAUUUUUUUAAUGACACAGUUUGAAGAACUGACUUAAGUACGGCCGUAAAAAUGACCCUAGUAUGUCGGCUAUGACCCUAGUGUGUUAAAAACCUACUCAAUCAUUCCUCCGAGUGUUAGCACUGUGAUGUUACUCGGCAAUGCUACAUCAACAGCAGUUUUAAAAUAUAGAGUCUGACUUCAUAUGUGUUGGAGGAGGCAUGUGCUAAUCUUCACCCUUCUUGUGUCUAUGAAAUUAAACUGCAAAGGCCCUUCACUUUGGAACAGCCAUAUUGGAAGGAAUGACCUCGGGUAUAGCUUAGGAUUUGGGGCGCAGCUUCUGUGCCAAAAUAUUUGUGGACACCCUUUUUAAUAAUCUACCUUUAC